CGCUGGCGGCGUGCCUAACACAUGCAAGUCGAGCGAGGAGAUUCCUUCGGGAUGAUCCUAGCGGCGGACGGGUGAGUAACACGUGGGCAACCUGCCUCAUAGAGAGGAAUAGCCUUCCGAAAGGGAGAUUAAUACCUCAUAACAUUGCAGUUUCGCAUGGAACAGCAAUUAAAGGAGCAAUCCGCUAUGAGAUGGGCCCGCGGCGCAUUAGCUAGUUGGUGAGGUAACGGCUCACCAAGGCGACGAUGCGUAGCCGACCUGAGAGGGUGAUCGGCCACAUUGGGACUGAGACACGGCCCAGACUCCUACGGGAGGCAGCAGUGGGGAAUAUUGCACAAUGGGGGAAACCCUGAUGCCAGCAACGCCGCGUGAGUGAUGACGGCCUUCGGGUUGUAAAGCUCUGUCUUCAGGGACGAUAAUGACGGUACCUGAGGAGGAAGCCACGGCUAACUACGUGCCAGCCGCCGC
RNAcentral lists this ribosomal RNA (468 nucleotides) under uncultured bacterium. Its description in RNAcentral is "bacterial SSU rRNA". It matches the Rfam family "Bacterial small subunit ribosomal RNA", at positions 34 to 518 of the family's 1533-position model. The record is from RNAcentral.